GAUCUUCACGCACACCCAUAAAUCAUCUGUCAGCACAGCAGUAAGGGAAAGCACGUACAAAAGGAUAUCCAGGUGGCAUUACUCACCUACCAAGAUCCAUGUACUCUUCCCAACAGUACCUAAAAUAUGUUGGAGAUGCGGGCAAACUAAAGGAACCACGGCGCACAUUUGGUGGCUAUGCCCGCCUAUUCAAACCUAUUGGCAGAGACUAAGAAGCCUAAUAACAUCUAUCACGGGCCACCAGGUAUCACACUCCCCCGAAACCUUCUUAUUCCUCAUGCACACCACCCACAUGCCUAGCCACCUACGCACACUCAUAAACCAUAUGCUGACAGCAGCAAACAUGCUGAUACCACUUAAGUGGAAAAGCACUGGGGUCCCAUCAGUACGUGAGUGGAUACAGAAGGUGGAAUUCAUACGGAUCAUGGAAGAAUUAGAUGCCUCAUACUCGAAUAACUACACCACAUAC
This is a non-coding RNA of Pelobates cultripes (western spadefoot toad), 469 nucleotides long. NCBI's taxonomy places the organism in Eukaryota, Metazoa, Chordata, Amphibia, Anura, Pelobatidae. The record is from the annotation of a GenBank genome assembly.